RNAcentral lists this long non-coding RNA (203 nucleotides) under Elaeis guineensis (African oil palm). RNAcentral describes it as "long non-coding RNA (EGUI_LNC043152)". The record is from RNAcentral. Lineage: Eukaryota; Viridiplantae; Streptophyta; Magnoliopsida; Arecales; Arecaceae.
GGGCCUAUGCGCCUCCUUGGGAUUGUGGGGCUCCUCCCAUCCACACAUCAAUAUAUGGUAAACAUAAAAAGAGGGCACCUGCCAUCCGUACACAGGCUCCCUCAGGGGGCUGACUCCUCCUUGACUGGAGGGUUAUGUUAUGGUGUAGAGUGGGGGACUUCCUUAGUCCUAUAUUGAUUGUGAGUCAAGAGAGACUCUGACUU